This 253-nucleotide ribosomal RNA is filed under the name uncultured bacterium. Its description in RNAcentral is "partial 16S ribosomal RNA". It matches the Rfam family "Bacterial small subunit ribosomal RNA", at positions 524 to 776 of the family's 1533-position model. The record is from RNAcentral.
UACGAGAGGUCCAAACGUUAUUCGGAAUCACUGGGCUUACAGAGUUCGUAGGCGGUUCUACAAGUGGGGUGUGAAAGCCCUCGGCUCAACCGAGGAACUGCGCUCCAAACUGUAGAACUAGAGGAAGAUAGAGGUGAGCGGAACUGAUGGUGGAGCGGUGAAAUGCGUUGAUAUCAUCAGGAACACCGGAGGCGAAGGCGGCUCACUGGGUCUUUUCUGACGCUGAGGAACGAAAGCUAGGGGAGCAAACGGG